GGUCCCUGUUUGCCUCGAGGGCAAUAAGAGCAGGGGACAGCAUUUUGAAGGUCCCUUUCAACGUGGAAAUAUCACCAGAUGAUCUCCUUCUUGAAAUUAGGUCCUUGAAAGUAGGGAAUGUAGCUAAACUUGCUGCCGUCAUCCUGAAAGAACAGAAAAUGGGUCAGGAUUCUGAAUGGGCUCCUUGUAUAAGAAGUCUUCCUCAGCCCAAGGAGAUGUAUAGCACGGUCUGAAUG
This is a long non-coding RNA of Rhodamnia argentea, 236 nucleotides long. RefSeq lists it as uncharacterized. The transcript is spliced from 3 exons. Lineage: Eukaryota; Viridiplantae; Streptophyta; Magnoliopsida; Myrtales; Myrtaceae. The record is from RefSeq and is a predicted model, not a curated record.